UUCACAAUAAAUGAACAAACAACAUCCAAAAUCCAAAAUCAGAGUAUACAAACAAGUACAACAUCUCAGGUUCAAUAAAAUUCUUUGUUCACAAAAUCAGAAUUCAGUUCAUCAGAGUUCAGUUCAUCAGAAUCAAUGAAAUCCCAAAAUUAUUUCAUAACAAUUUCAGAGAGUAGAGACUCAGAGUUCAGUUCAUCAGAGCACAGUUCAUCAGAAUCAAUGAAAUAAAAAAAUAGAUUCAUAACAGUUUACUCAGAGUUCAGUUCAUCAGAGCACAGUUCAUCAGAAUCAAUGAAAUCAAAAAAUAAAUUCAAAACAGUUUCAGAGAGUAGAGACCCAGAGUUCAAUUCAUCAGUUCAGUUCAUCAGAAUCAAUGAAAUCA
Molecule: non-coding RNA, 382 nt
Organism: Arachis ipaensis
Lineage: Eukaryota; Viridiplantae; Streptophyta; Magnoliopsida; Fabales; Fabaceae
Source: RefSeq, a predicted model, not a curated record